AGAGAAGAAAGAUGGUAAGAUCCACAGGGUUCCAUACGUGAAACCAGCGCCCCAAUCCCCUUCAGAAGGUUGGACUGAGGAGACACCGAGAUCAUGUGGGAUAAAAGUGAGAUGAAUCUUCUGUCAGUUGACCCAAAGAAUGGGCAAGCAGACCGGAGUGCAGGGAAAGAAGAGGAAGCCCUGAUGUAGUUCCGAGCUUCCUCCUGAGGGAAGAAGUGCAAAGAGGCCGGAAGGUUUCAGAACAACCAGCAAAGUCGGUGAAGUAGAGUGAAUCCAAAAAUUCAGCAAACGACAAACCCGAAAGGAGACACGCCAGCUGCUCCCACUGGAAAGUUACCGAACGUUUAUUUUGGUUCAAGUUUUAUUUUUAUAUGAAUAAGGAACAAUAAGUUUUCUAUGGGGGUGGGGAGUCAUUCCUU
RNAcentral lists this long non-coding RNA (419 nucleotides) under Equus caballus (horse). RNAcentral describes it as "lncRNA (ENSECAG00000052497.1)". Lineage: Eukaryota; Metazoa; Chordata; Mammalia; Perissodactyla; Equidae. The record is from RNAcentral.